RNAcentral lists this ribosomal RNA (611 nucleotides) under uncultured bacterium. RNAcentral's name for it is "bacterial SSU rRNA". It matches the Rfam family "Bacterial small subunit ribosomal RNA", at positions 338 to 950 of the family's 1533-position model. The record is from RNAcentral.
CCUACGGGAGGCAGCAGUAAGGAAGUAUUGGACAAUGCUCGCAAGAGUGAUCCAGCCAUGCCGCGUGCAGGAAGAAUGCCCUAUGGGUAGUAAACUGCUUUUGAACUAGAGAAAACCCCAGUACGUGUACUGGGCUGAUAGUAUAGUUAGAAUAAGCAUCGGCUAACUUCGUGCCAGCAGCCGCGGUAAGACGAAGGAUGCAAGCGUUAUCCGGAUUCAUUGGGUUUAAAGGGAGCGUAGGUGGACUGAUAAGUCAGUGGUGAAAUCUCCGAGCUUAACUCGGAAAUUGCCAUUGAUACUGUUGGUCUUGAGUACAGUUGCUGUGGGCGGAAUAUGACAUGUAGUGGUGAAAUACAUAGAGAUGUCAUAGAACACCGAUUGCGAAGGCAGCUCACAAAGCUGUAACUGACACUGAGGCUCGAAAGUGCGGGGAUCAAACAGGAUUGGAUACCCUGGUAGUCCGCACCGUAAACGAUGAUUACUCGCUGCUAGGGGGCAACCGUUAGUGGCUUAGCGAAAGCGAUAAGAAUCCACCUGGGGAGUACGCCGGCACGGUGAAACUCGAAAGGAAUUGACGGCNGAGAGNGCGAGGACGACACGAGGGGAGGAGG